UAAGACAGAGGAUGCAAGCGUUAUCCGGAAUGAUUGGGCGUAAAGCGUCUGUAGGUGGCUUCUUAAGUCUGCUGUCAAAUCCCAGGGCUUAACCCUGGCCAGGCGGUGGAGACUACGGAGCUUGAGUACGGUAGGGGCAGAGGGAAUUUCCGGUGGAGCGGUGAAAUGCGUAGAGAUCGGAAAGAACACCAAGGGCGAAGGCACUCUGCUGGGCCGAAACUGACACUGAGAGACGAGAGCUAGGGGAGCAAAUGGGAU
RNAcentral lists this ribosomal RNA (258 nucleotides) under uncultured archaeon. Its description in RNAcentral is "partial 16S ribosomal RNA". It matches the Rfam family "Bacterial small subunit ribosomal RNA", at positions 521 to 778 of the family's 1533-position model. The record is from RNAcentral.